AAGCGUCGGACGCGGCCCGGCGCCGAGCCAUGGAGCCUGAGCCAGUGGAGGACUGUGUGCAGAGCACUCUCGCCGCCCUGUAUCCACCCUUUGAGGCAACAGCCCCCACCCUGUUGGGCCAGGUGUUCCAGGUGGUGGAGAGGACUUAUCGGGAGGACGCACUGAGGCCUGAUCUACAGACACUGGGGCUGUCCGUCCUGCUGGACCUUCGCCAGGCACCUCCACUGCCUCCAGCACUGAUUCCUGUCUUGAGCCAACUUCAGGACUCAGGAGAUCCUCCCCUUGUUCAGCGGCUGCUGAUUCUCAUUCAUCAUGACCUUCCAACUGAACUCUGUGGAUUUCAGGGUGCUGAGGUGCUGUCAGAGAAUGAUCUGAAAAGAGUGGCCAAGCCAGAGGAGCUGCAGUGGGAGUUAGGAGGUCACAGGGACCCCUCUCCCAGUCACUGGGUAGAGAUACACCAGGAAGUGGUAAGGCUAUGUCGCCUGUGCCAAGGCCCAGCUACACUGUAUCAGGAAGUGGACGAGGCCAUUCACCAGCUUGUGCGCCUCUCCAACCUGCACGUGCAGCAGCAAGAGCAGCGGCAGUGCCUGCGGCGACUCCAGCAGGUGUUGCAGUGGCUCUCGGGCCCAGGAGAGGAGCAGCUGGCAAGCUUUGCUCUGCCUGGGGACACCUUGUCUGCCCUGCAGGAGACAGAGCUGCGAUUCCGGGCUUUCAGCGCUGAGGUCCAGGAGCGCCUGGCCCAGGCACGGGAGGCCCUGGCUCUGGAGGAGAAUGCCACCUCCCAGAAGGUGCUGGAUAUCUUUGAACAGCGGCUGGAGCAGGUUGAGAGUGGCCUCCAUCGGGCCCUGCGGCUACAGCGCUUCUUCCAGCAGGUGCAUGCAGAGCCUUUUCCUUCUGUGCCCCCCAUUUCCAUUUAUUCACUUCCUUUCUGCCUGGAGAGGCUAAUUAAGUUGUUAAAAGUGGAGGCUGAGGAGCCCAUCUCCUAGGUUUUUCCUCUUAGCUCUGUCACCUCCUUGCUGAAUGGCAUGGGACAAGAUACUAAACCUGACUGUGCCUCCAUAGAUCUACCUCACAGGGCUGCUGUGGGGAUUACACGAGGCAAUACAUAAAAGCCCUUAGCACAGAGCCUGCCACUCAUAAAUGUCGUAUGAGUACUGGUUAUUCUUUUAUAUAGGCUCUUCCAUCUCCAUACCAACUCCGAGUGACAUGGUUAGGCAGUGAUGCUGGAACAGUGAGAAAAUGGGAGAGUGAUGGGCAUUGAGAGGCCACAGGCAAGAGGACAAGGGCUGUCAUUGGGCGUCCUUCGUGAGCAACACAGGCCCUUACCCUUUCUCUCCCAUCCCCAACCCCUUUGACUUCAUAGGCACAUGAAUGGGUGGAUGAGGGCUUUGCUCGGCUGGCAGGAGCUGGGCCAGGUCGGGAGGCUGUGCUGGCUGCACUGGCCCUGCGGCGGGCCCCAGAGCCCAGUGCCGGCACCUUCCAGGAGAUGCGGGCCCUGGCCCUGGACCUGGGCAGCCCAGCAGCCCUACGAGAAUGGGGCCGCUGCCGGGCCCGCUGCCAAGAGCUGGAGAGGAGGAUUCAGCAACACCUGGGAGAGGAGGCGAGCCCACGGGGCUACCGACGACGGCGGGCAGACAGUGCCAGCAGUGGAGGGGCCCAGUGGGGGCCCCGCAGCCCCUCGCCCAGCCUCAGCUCCUUGCUGCUCCCCAGCAGCCCUGGGCCACGGCCAGCCCCAUCCCAUUGCUCCCUGGCCCCAUGUGGAGAGGACUAUGAGGAAGAGGGCCCUGAGCUGGCUCCAGAAGCAGAGGGCAGGCCCCCAAGAGCUGUGCUGAUCCGAGGCCUGGAGGUCACCAGCACUGAGGUGGUAGACAGGACGUGCUCACCACGGGAACACGUGCUGCUGGGCCGGGCUGGGGGGCCAGACGGACCCUGGGGAGUAGGCACCCCCCGGAUGGAGCGCAAGCGAAGCAUCAGUGCCCAGCAGCGGCUGGUGUCUGAGCUGAUUGCCUGUGAACAAGAUUACGUGGCCGCCUUGAGUGAGCCAGUGCCACCCCCUGGGCCUGAGCUGACUCCUGAACUUCGGGGCACCUGGGCUGCUGCCCUGAGUGCCCGGGAAAGGCUUCGCAGCUUCCACCGGACACACUUUCUGCGGGAGCUUCAGGGUUGCGCCACCCACCCCCUACGCAUUGGGGCCUGCUUCCUUCGCCACGGGGACCAGUUCAGCCUUUAUGCACAGUACGUGAAGCACCGACACAAACUGGAGAAUGGUCUGGCUGCGCUCAGUCCCUCAAGCAAGGGCUCCAUGGAGGCUGGCCCUUACCUGCCCCGAGCCCUGCAGCAGCCUCUGGAACAGCUGACUCGGUAUGGGCGGCUCCUGGAGGAGCUCCUGAGGGAAGCUGGGCCUGAGCUCAGUUCUGAGCGCCAGGCCCUUGGGGCUGCUGUACAGCUGCUCCGGGAACAAGAGGCCCGUGGCAGAGACCUGCUGGCCGUGGAGGCGGUGCGUGGCUGUGAGAUAGAUCUGAAGGAGCAGGGACAGCUCUUGCAUCGAGACCCCUUCACUGUCAUCUGUGGCCGAAAGAAGUGCCUUCGCCAUGUCUUUCUCUUUGAGCAUCUCCUCCUGUUCAGCAAGCUCAAGGGCCCUGAAGGGGGGUCAGAGACGUUUGUUUACAAGCAGGCCUUUAAGACUGCUGACAUGGGGCUGACAGAAAACAUCGGGGACAGCGGACUCUGCUUUGAGUUGUGGUUUCGGCGGCGGCGUGCACGAGAGGCAUACACUCUGCAGGCAACCUCACCAGAGAUCAAACUCAAGUGGACAAGUUCUAUUGCCCAGCUGCUGUGGAGACAGGCAGCCCACAACAAGGGUACUGGGCAGAGCUGAGGAAGGGGGUGCUUGGAGUCAGGGUUAUAGCAGGAAGUUUUCUGGAGAGUGUGCGAACUGCUUGGGAAAACAGCUUAUAGGAUGAAGAAAGAAUAGCUUAUAAUAAGAUUCAAGAUUUGGCUUGAGAGAUUACUGAAGUAGAAAUGAGCCUAAGAUAUACCAAAAAGAAAGAGAAAGCUGGCAAAUUUCAGGGAAGCAAGAGCAAGUAGGGGCCAGGUGCAGUGGCUCAUGCCUGUAAUCCCAGCGCAUUUUGGGAGGCCAAAGUGGGAGGAUUGUUUGAGGCCAGGUGUUCAAGACCAGCCUGGGCACAUAGUGAGACCCCAUUUCCACAAAAACUUUUAAAAUUAACUGGGCAUGGUAGUACGCACCUAUAGUCCUAGCUAUUUGAGGGGUGAGGUAGGAGGAUCGCUUGAGCCCAAAUGUUCAAGGCUACAGUGAGCUAUGGUGGUGCCACUGCACUUGAGCCUGAGUGACAGAGCAAGACUCUGUCUUAAAGGAUUUUUUUUCAAAUUUUUUAAUAAAGCAAAUGGCUGGGAAAAGAGGUGAGAAACUGCUCGCUUGGAUUUAAGAACUGCUGCUACUUGCUGUGUGACCUGGACUAGUUUUUUGUUUGUUAGUUUUAUUUUUAUUUUUGUUUUUUUGCUGGGCUUUACCUUGGUUUUAAUUUUCUGAACUUCAUUCUGCUCAUCUGAAAAAUGAAAUACUAAUGUCUUCAUCUUAGUGUAAUAGGGAUGAUUAGGUAAGGUCAAAUAUAUGGAAGCAUCUUGUAAACUGUAAAGGUAUGUAAAAAUGUGAGGGUUGUGUGUGUGUGUGUGUGUGUGUGUGUGCUCUUAAUGCCCAAGAUGCAGAGUAGAAAUUAGGCAGCUGGGAUGCCAAACAGGCAGGAUGCAACAUAUUGGAGAGAAGAGCCAGAUAUCUGAGGAGGAAGUCACACCGUCAUUGCCAUCCAUGUUGUGAUAGUCAACAGAAGGAGUAAAAAGAGACAUCAGAGGAAUCAAAGGGAGGAAUGAGGAUUGGGAAGGAAC
This 3903-nucleotide small RNA is filed under the name Pan troglodytes (chimpanzee). RNAcentral's name for it is "retained intron". The record is from RNAcentral. Lineage: Eukaryota; Metazoa; Chordata; Mammalia; Primates; Hominidae.